Molecule: long non-coding RNA, 568 nt
Organism: Cylas formicarius (sweet potato weevil)
Lineage: Eukaryota; Metazoa; Arthropoda; Insecta; Coleoptera; Brentidae
Exons: 3
Source: RefSeq, a predicted model, not a curated record
AGUACAAACAAUAAGUUUAAAUUACAGGACUGAGUUGCUUCAGUUAACCUAAUAAAAAUGUUUAAAAAACAUCAUCAUUCAAUAGCAAUAUAAAUAACUACUAAUGUGUCGAAAUUCACCGGAUUAGGUAUAUAGAAAGUGCGAAUGAAAAACAUUAUUUUGCUGGAAGAAGCUUGGAUUGAUUUUAUUGAUUUUUGGGCGGAGAGAAAGUGGAAACGUGGAAGAAAUGAGGAUAUUAAUAAUAUUAACAAUCAAUUUCACAAUUUGACAGCUACGACAAUAUGUAUGCACUUGCACGAAGUGGUAACAAAUCUGUAUUUUAAAUAGGACUGGAGCAAUGCUAUAUUUGUGGGAAACUCAUUUCAAGUUGUUUUCAUUGGUCUGUCUGCUAUGGAUAGGGGAGUUUCCCUUUAAAAGUGUUCAAUUGGACCAAUGACGGUGAAUUUAGGCCACGCUGACCGCGGACAGUUUUUUCAAGAGCGUCAGUCCCGUCUCGUUCGCUCUGUCAACGGAAACGUCCAAAUUUAAAUCUGACACGAACUCGGCCAGGCAAUUUACCGCCGGCAGU